CAACUGCAUUGUUGUGAGCAGUUGGGCGCUGCAUCUCCAGAUUGGGACAGUCCUAGCUUGCAAGCAACAAUGUUGUGCAUUUGCAGGUCGAGUGCGCCGAGACUUUCGAGAAGGCGAUAUGAGCUCAAUUUUGAGGCCAGCUUGCUGGUACCCGGAUUGGAGGAAUGUUGUUCGUUUUGGAUGUGAAGAGGGGAAAGGUUUUCGGGCUCGUAUGGGUUCGAAUUGGUGUGGGGUGGCAGUUGCAUGCAACAUGUGCCUUCUGCCAAUUCGGUCCUGUGCGAGCUCACAAUCCCACUCUCGGCGUAAAAGUUGGUCAUCUAUCCGACCCGUCUUGAAACACGGACCAAGGAGUUUAUCGUGUGCGCAAGUCAUUGGGUGUUGAAAACUCAAAGGCGCAAUGAAAGUAAAGAAUCCGCAAGGAUACGACGUGUGAUCUGAGCAAUCACGAUUGCCUGGAGCAACAUGGCCCCAUUCUGGUCGCUUGCGACGGGGUGGAGGAAGAGCGUACGCGGUGAGACCCGAAAGAUGGUGAACUAUUCCUGAGCAGGAUGAAGCCAGAGGAAACUCUGGUGGAAGUCCGAAGCGAUUCUGACGUGCAAAUCGAUCGUCUGAC
This 613-nucleotide ribosomal RNA is filed under the name Pratylenchus penetrans. RNAcentral's name for it is "partial large subunit ribosomal RNA". It matches the Rfam family "Eukaryotic large subunit ribosomal RNA", at positions 402 to 910 of the family's 3401-position model. The record is from RNAcentral. Lineage: Eukaryota; Metazoa; Nematoda; Chromadorea; Rhabditida; Pratylenchidae.